AACGCACGAGACCUGCGGACCUGCGGAGGGAUCAUCAAUAGUCCUAACACCUUUGUAUGCGAGCUGUAGCAGUAGUUAUUGUGUCGUAUCACUACGCGCAUUACUAUUGCUCUCUCACAUCACCCUUGUGUGCACUGUUAUUUGUGUCUUGGUGGACUGGGAGUGUGUUUAGUGUUGUCAUUACUACUUUUGUGGUGUGGCACGCCUCCCAGCCUGCCGUUAACCAUAUGUUUGACUAAC
RNAcentral lists this unclassified non-coding RNA (240 nucleotides) under soil metagenome. RNAcentral's name for it is "partial contains 5.8S ribosomal RNA, internal transcribed spacer 2, and large subunit ribosomal RNA". The record is from RNAcentral.